AACAAUUCAACUAGUCGAAAUCAGCAAGAAGGAAACUGGUCAAAUCAGAGAAAACCCUGGAACCAAGGAAACCAAAGAGGUGGUGGUGUAGUUAGAGGAAGAGGUGGUGGUUAAAAGCCAGACAAGAGUCACAUUCAAUGUUACAAUUGUCAGAAGCAUGGUCACUAUUCUAGUGAUUAUCCAGAAAAGUAGAAGAAUCAAGAAAC
Molecule: long non-coding RNA, 206 nt
Filed under: Lathyrus oleraceus (garden pea)
Lineage: Eukaryota; Viridiplantae; Streptophyta; Magnoliopsida; Fabales; Fabaceae
Description: Pisum sativum (pea) long non-coding RNA (PSAT_LNC023841)
Source: RNAcentral